GUCUUUUUGAUUAUAAUUUAAAGUCUAACCUGCCCAAUGAGUAGUUAAAUGGCCGCGGUACUUUGACCGUGCAAAGGUAGCAUAAUCAUUAGUUUUUUAAUUGAAAGCUGGAAUGAACGGUUGGACGAGAAAAUAACUGUCUCAAUUUAAUUUUAAUUAGAAUUUUAUUUAUAAGUAAAAAAGCUUAUAUAUGUUUAAAAGACGAGAAGACCCUAUAGAAUUUUAUAUUUAUUUAUGUAUAUUAUUUAUAGAAUAUAAAAUUAUCUAUAUAAAUAAGUAUUUUGUUGGGGCGAUAGAAAAAUUAACUUAACUUUUUUUAUAUAAAAUCAUUGAUUUAUGAGAGAGUGAUCCGUUAUUUACGAUUAUAAGAUUAAAUUACCUUAGGGAUAACAGCGUAAUUUUUUUUUAGAGUUCUUAUCGAAAAAAGAGUUUGCGACCUCGAUGUUGGAUUAAAAUUAACUUUUGGUGUAGGGGCUAAAGGGUUAGGUCUGUUCGACCUUUAAAAUUUUACA
RNAcentral lists this ribosomal RNA (512 nucleotides) under Pachyoryctes solidus. RNAcentral describes it as "partial 16S ribosomal RNA". It matches the Rfam family "Bacterial large subunit ribosomal RNA", at positions 1819 to 2600 of the family's 2925-position model. The record is from RNAcentral. Lineage: Eukaryota; Metazoa; Arthropoda; Insecta; Coleoptera; Scarabaeidae.